This 253-nucleotide ribosomal RNA is filed under the name uncultured bacterium. RNAcentral's name for it is "partial 16S ribosomal RNA". It matches the Rfam family "Bacterial small subunit ribosomal RNA", at positions 524 to 776 of the family's 1533-position model. The record is from RNAcentral.
GACAGAGGGUGCAAACGUUGUUCGGAUUUACUGGGCGUAAAGCGCGUGUAGGCGGCUUUGCAAGUCGGAUGUGAAAGCCCACGGCUCAACCGUGGAAGUGCAUCCGAAACUGCAUGGCUCGAGUCUCGGAGAGGAAGGUGGAAUGCUUGGUGUAGAGGUGAAAUUCGUAGAUAUCGAGAGGAACACCGGUGGCGAAGGCGGCCAACUGGACGAAUACUGACGCUGAGACUCGAAAGCGUGGGGAGCAAACAGG